CCUACGGGUGGCAGCAGUGAGGAAUAUUGGUCAAUGGGCGCGAGCCUGAACCAGCCAAGUCGCGUGAGGGAUGACGGUCCUACGGAUUGUAAACCUCUUUUGCCGGGGAGCAAGCGUUCGUUCGUGAACGCGCGUCGAGAGUACCCGGAGAAAAAGCAUCGGCUAACUCCGUGCCAGCAGCCGCGGUAAUACGGAGGAUGCGAGCGUUAACCGGAUUCAUUGGGUUUAAAGGGUGCGCAGGCGGGCCUUUAAGCCGGCGGUGAAAUCGCGGGGCUCAACCCCGCCGAGCCGUCGGAACUGGGGGCCUGGAGUGCGGCGGAGGCAUGCGGAAUGCGCGGUGUAGCGGUGAAAUGCAUAGAUAUCGCGCAGAACCCCGAUUGCGAAGGCAGCGUGCCGUGCCGCCACUGACGCUGAGGCACGAAAGCGCGGGGAUCGAACAGGAUUAGAUACCCUUGUAGUC
RNAcentral lists this ribosomal RNA (460 nucleotides) under uncultured bacterium. RNAcentral's name for it is "partial 16S ribosomal RNA". It matches the Rfam family "Bacterial small subunit ribosomal RNA", at positions 338 to 795 of the family's 1533-position model. The record is from RNAcentral.